GCCUGAAUCAGUGUGUGUGUUAGUGGAAGCGUCUGGAAAGGCGCGCGAUACAGGGUGACAGCCCCGUACACAAAAAUGCACAUAUUGUGAGCUCGAUGAGUAGGGCGGGACACGUGGUAUCCUGUCUGAAUAUGGGGGGCCCAUCCUCCAAGGCUAAAUACUCCUGACUGACCGAUAGUGAACCAGUACCGUGAGGGAAAGGCGAAAAGAACCCCGG
RNAcentral lists this ribosomal RNA (217 nucleotides) under Shigella flexneri. RNAcentral describes it as "partial 23S ribosomal RNA". It matches the Rfam family "Bacterial large subunit ribosomal RNA", at positions 308 to 529 of the family's 2925-position model. The record is from RNAcentral. RNAcentral also lists the same sequence under 1 other name. Lineage: Bacteria; Pseudomonadati; Pseudomonadota; Gammaproteobacteria; Enterobacterales; Enterobacteriaceae.